GAAGCAGACGACCUGUGACGUAAUCUAGUCUGCACAUCGUCAACAAGAACAUAUGUGCUAGAGCAGCGAGGCGACGGAUACCAAUUCUAACUGCAUCAUCUGCUUCAUAUACUGAGCGCAUUCCUAUCAGAAAGUUUUCACAACAGAUUCUGGCUGACAUGGAAGUAGCAGAAACUUAUUCGGCUUCUUACAUCUUCAUCUGAUCUGUACCUCCAUCUUUGCUACUGCCAAGGCGCCUCCUCCGGUGCAGAGACUCCUCGUUUUGGAAGUGCUGGCAAUAUCCGACAUGCAGUCUAUGACUUAAAUCUCACGACUAUUCGGCCGGUUAGUCUUGUCCAAUAUGAUUCCAGUGCUCAAUCCCAGCAAGUGCAUUCAAAACGAUGGAAGGUGUUCCUCUUACGAUUUCCCGUGUUGCUCGAAUUCGGUAUGCGUAUAUGUUCUUCUUGAGGGUAAUAGAUGCAAGGACAAGGGGGCAAUCUGCUCGAAAGGGCCUGGAGGUGUCCAGAAUUGUCUACAGCGUGCUUACUAAUGUAAAAGGAGAUUAUCAAUCAUGGUCUCGAAUUGACGAUGACUACAAAGUGUUUCAGGGAUACAAGCUGUCACGACAACGCUUAAAUGCCGAGUGGAUUGUCCCCCAAAAUUCUGAAACUAUAAAAUAUUGUUCUACUUCUAAUUGAUCAGUAAACUGAAAUUUACUUUCUGUCUUUGCUUUGCUUAUUGUAUCAACCAAUGUCCAUGGUAAGUAAAAUAAGUGAGUCAUAUGUGUGGGUGUUUAAAAAGAAUUAAGUUGUGAAGCUUUCGGAUAGAUAAAAACAACAAUUCUAAACAAAGAUUCAAAAUUUUUUACAAGUCUAAUAUUUAAAACCUAGUAUAUAAGGUAAUCAACCAACCUGUGACAUAUGCCUAUUGUUCCGUACUCAUUUUUUUAUAACCUUUUAGUUUACUGUAAAAUUAUAACAGACUAUACUUUCUUUUAAGCGAAUUUCAUGUUAAGUGUAAAAGUCAGUUUUCAUUUAAUUACACUCAAUUCCUUUAUGAUGGCAUACUAAUUAUUAAUAUCUAAUUUUAGCGACAGACAUCACCAGCUAAUAAUGUUUGUAGACUCUGCAGACUCUUAACAACAUUAAAGUUCAGUGUGUAAGUCACACAUAAUUACAGAGAAACAAUUAUUUCUGGUCUCUCAGAAGAAUUCUCCCGCUUUCUCUUUCUCUCACACACACACACACUGACGUACACAUGUAUGAACUAACCCAAGUGCACUAAACCAACCGUUGUAACUGUCGAACUUCAUGACCAGUAAGAUACCUACGCUUAAUGAUGAUGCGGUACAUUAACUUUAUUUCCUAGAGUAGAAUUGGGAAGAACUUAGUCUGGUUGCACCUUGGUCAUGACUGAAGUGAAAUGAUUUUUCUCUACUUGCAUGAUGCUUAACUAGUACUUUUCCAUAGCACACACACACACGUACACACAAACACAUCGUUUUCAUAUAUAAAUAUAUUUGUAUAAAUUGAAUCAUAUCAGUCAGGUCAAUUUAAGGGGAUACACUGGGAGGUCACAAGACACAAACGGGUACAAGACGGUACAGACAGGUAAACUUCUCGUCGGUUGCCACCUUCCCGUGCUCCGAUGGCUGGGACGGACUGACCUUCUUGAAAUCAUCGUCUCAUGUAAAAGACUAUUAUCGAUCUGUACAUCAUCUACACAAUAAAAUAGAAUGUGGAGGUCACUAAAGACUAAAUGAGGGUUAUAAAACAAGACGUUUAACAGAAAAUUGUAAGAGGAUAUAUGUUUUCAUAAUUAGUUUUAUUCUAUCGAGAAUUUUUCAAUUCAUUUAAGUAUAAAGUUUCAUGAUAUUAAGGACUAGUCUCGCUGUUUUAUCUUAAAUUGCAUCCAAGAUUUGUUCAAAAUAAUAAAAUUUUAGUGUAUGAAAGCAAACUAAUAAAAUUAAAUUAAAUUUUUUUUUUUUGUUCUCUCUCAUGUAUAUAACUAGCACUAGAAUUGUCUGUUUUAAUAGCGACAACUCAACACUUACGGAGACAUCAAGGUAGUGUGCAAUACUUUCGUCAAUCUAAUCAGUAAAUUGUUUAUCUUAAUGCGUUAUGUCAUCAAUUAUCUUUAAGCUUUUUUAUGUUGUUCUCUUUCAUUAAAUGAGAUAACGAAUCAAAGCUUUCGAUUUUGCACAGAUAUAUUUUUUAUUCUUCUAAAAAUAUACUUAAUUUGUAACCGGAUAAGAACAGUCGUUUUUUAAUAGCUUUAAUAUCAGCUCUAUUGAAUUAUUAGAUUAAACAGUCAGAUAAACGUUUUGCCUCUAAAUCACUCACAGUAUCUGUGACAAAAAUUAAAAAAAACAUAAUUCCAAACUGUUUCUCCAAAAAGUCAAUCUUUUUCUUUGUCUUCUCUCAGAUUAAAAUAUCCAGCCCUUCUCCAAAAGAACACAUUAUCUGUUGUGAUGGCCAUGAAACUCAGAACAACUGUAAUAAUCAUCAUGGCUUUGGUGUGGCUGCAAGCAGCAGUUGUUGACGGGUGCACUCCAAACGAUGAUAAGUGUGGCGCAUGGAAACGACCAUGUUGCAGUAAUUCGUUGUGCGUGAGAGUUCCUGAUCAGGGUGAUAGAUGCAAAGACAGAGGGGACAUCUGCCAGACAUUGCCUGGAGGUGCCACGACUUGUCUAAGGCGUGUAUGGUAACGCAAAAGGAGAUUAUCAAUCAUGGUCCCGAAUUGAUGAGGACUUCAGAGAGUUUCAGGGAUACAAGCUGUCACGACAACGCUUAAAUGCCGAGUGGAUUGUAAUAAAAAUUCUGAAACUAUAAAUAUUGUUCUACUUAUGAUUGAUCAGUAAACUGAAAGUCAAUCUUUC
Long non-coding RNA from Pomacea canaliculata, 2857 nucleotides. RefSeq lists it as uncharacterized. Lineage: Eukaryota; Metazoa; Mollusca; Gastropoda; Architaenioglossa; Ampullariidae. The record is from RefSeq and is a predicted model, not a curated record. The transcript is spliced from 6 exons.